Phrynosoma platyrhinos (Desert horned lizard) is the source of this 72-nucleotide non-coding RNA. Lineage: Eukaryota; Metazoa; Chordata; Lepidosauria; Squamata; Phrynosomatidae. The record is from the annotation of a GenBank genome assembly.
GCCAGUGUGGUUCAGUGGUUUGAGUGCUAAAAUACAACUCUGGAGGCUAGGAUUCAAACCCUUGCUUUGCCA